This is an RNA transcript of Erythranthe guttata (spotted monkey flower), 3125 nucleotides long. It is a transcript of the gene named ribonuclease Ps, with no coding region annotated. Lineage: Eukaryota; Viridiplantae; Streptophyta; Magnoliopsida; Lamiales; Phrymaceae. The record is from RefSeq and is a predicted model, not a curated record.
AAGUUCUUCUCUCUCAUCCUAAAAUUUAUAUUGCUAUACGACGUCGUUGUGGUGUUUUGUGUGACCUACGCCGCCACGUCGGCGCCACCUGAGUAAAUCACAUACAAAAUUAAGGGAGCAGUCCGUCGCCGCCGCUCACGUUCAAUUCACCCUGAUACUCCGCCGGCGAACCACGUGUUGCUACUCGGAACAUUUGAAUCAGUGAUAUGGUUACUAAUGGGGGCAAAUCUGGAGUCUCGUUAGCUGCGCCGCACGAGCUUAACGUGUGGAGAUUUGUAGAGUCUAGAGCAUCUGAGCUCGAGAGCCUUCACUCUGUCGUUUCCGAUCGUUUGGAUAACAAUUUUCGGUCCCAAAGGAACAAGAGAAGGAGAACAACUGGACAUGACAAUCGAGUUGCGAAAAAGAAGUUUAAAAGGAGGAGAAUUGAAGUGGGGAAAAUUGAUAGCACUGAUGACUCUGUGUCGAAAGGCGAGAAGAAAAUAUCUCGUCGUGUUCGAAGGAAUAUUGAACUUAAGAAGAACCUGCCGAAUGGAUUUAGUACUUCGGGGGAUGGGACCAAGAGACUGAGAACACAUGUAUGGCAUGCCAAGCGGUUCACAAUGAAAAAGAUAUGGGGUUUCUACGUUCCUCUAGGUCUUCAUGGCAGAGGAAGAGGUUCAAGGGCUCUCUUGAAAAAAUUAAAGCAGGGAGUACUUGUGCACGACGCAAGCUACUAUGGCUUGGUGCAGUUGGAGGGUCCAGAGGACACCUUAAUGUCGGUUCUAAGUUCUGUCUUGGUGCCGUCUCCAUCGGCAAGCCGUGAAGAAACCUCGCGUGAUAUUCUUGCUGGAGUCAUCUUUGGAACAGCCAUGCUUCAUCGUUCUGGAAAACCGUCUCUCCCACCUAUUGCUCCGGUGACCUACUUGUGGCAACGAGCCCCUACUAAUGUGGAAGGGCACAGCAAAGACGUUUGCGAUGGAGAAAAGAACAACGAUGGUGGUCCAAUCACGCGCCAGCUGUGGGUGUGGAUACAUGCUGCUGCUUUUCAAGAAGCAUACGAUGCUUUAGAUUCUGCAUGUCAAGGACAGACAGGCACGGGUUCUUUGGCUCGUUGUGUUUCUCGUGAGGGCCAGCUAGCAAAAUUGGAAUUGAUGGGCUCAAAAGUGUUUCAGUUGCUGCAGAAGACACUGAUACCUGCCAGCAGUAAUUCUGCAAACUCUCUGCUUCUGAAGAAAUGUUCGGGCGAUGAGAAUGCUAAUCUUAGCGAAUCAGUGAAGUUGUCGAUUUUCGAGAACGGAAAUCAGAUUUCAUCUUCUGCCGUUGUUUCUCUGGUAGUAAAAGACCCUCGUGCAUUAAGUAAUGAAGAAGGUCAAAUCAAAGAGGAAACUGCUUCAUUGCCUAACCAUGAAGCUGACUGUGUAUUUGAGUUCGGUGAAUUAUGGGAUGCCAGCAAAUCGGUGAAACCUCCUAUGGAAGAAAGUGUUCUCUGUAUGGAAAAGCAUAAUCGGCAUAAUGAAUUUAUUCGGCUUGGUCGUAAAAUUUCCGGGCCUCAAAAUGCUUCUAUUGAUAGAGAAUACUCUAGAAUUUGUCCUGUUUUACUGUUAAAACACGAGGACGGUGAAGAAUCAGUUACUAGGUGUUCCGUCAUCCUCCCUCUAAGUUGGGUUAAAGCAUUUUGGAUUACUUUUAUGUCAAACGGUGCUCAUGCUAUCGGUUUACGAGAGAAGCAAUGGGUUGCUAGCGAGAUGGGAUUACCCUACUUCCCCUCGGACUUUCCCGAUUGCAACGCAUACUCGAAUUUUAUGGCAAUGGAGUCCGAUGAAACAAACCACAAAGCAAACCUUCUUCCUCCUUCUAAAAGGCCACCACAAGUCCCGAUUCCUCCUCCAUGGAGUUGUGUGCACCUUACUUUAGAACAAAGAUCAAGUAAAACGGGAAAAUCUUAUAGCCACACAGACAAUGAAAAAAUUGAUAUUGAGAAACAACGAAUUUUCGAGGGUGCUAUAGCGAGGACAUCUUGCAUGCUGAGUGAGUUCCUGCGAAAUAUCAGUGGCGAAAAUUUGCUUUUAUUCCCGAAAAUAACCGGUCAGAAGAAUUGCUUGUAUAAAUUCAUGAGGGACAAAGAAUUUCUCGAACCAGACAACAGUGUUAUGUCAGAAGUGAAGUGCGCAGAAACAUUGUGCUAUGUCAGAGUACUUCUUCGUGCUUGUAAAGAAGGUGCUUUCGAACAAGGAGCAGUUGUCUGUGCACCCCAUGCUGCUGACGUAAUGCCGUUGACAGCCAGCAGCUCAGAAAGUGACGACCAACGACUUCAAAUACCUCAAGCUUCACAGAAAUCGUACUUUAAGCAGUUACCUUCUGGUAAAUGGGAACUCGAAUUACCCAAGGAUGAAGAAGCUACUGAUAAAUCCUACAGGUGGCCCAUUGGCUUUAUUACAACUGGUUUUGUACGAGGAAGCAAAAAGGCAACGUCGGUGGCGUUUUGCGAGGCGAGUUUACUAUCGAGUCUUCGAAGAGAGCAAUGGAAGGCGUUGCCGUUAAAGCGGAGGAAGAAGGAGAUAUACGUUCUCGUUAGAAACAUGAGAUCAACUGCCUAUAGACUUGCUCUUGCCACCAUUGUUCUAGAACAACACGAAGAAGAUGCCGCGUUCAUCUGACCUGUUUUCAAACCGGGCCCACGCCCACAUUUCUACAUUAACAACGAGCCUCGUUCGAGCCUUGUCCGUUACCUAAGGAAGCAUCAUAUUCAUGUUUACAAUGGUCUCCCCACCCAGUUUUUGCCUCUGUUGCUUCAUUGUGCGUCUAGAGACGAUGAUUUCGGAACUCACCAACUUUCUUCGGGCCAGAAUUUCAGUUGGAAUUUUAAAUCCAAUGCUUUUGAGACGACUCUCUAUUUUUGUCGGUUCUCGUGCGGGCCGAAAACUGCUUCCUUCGUUGUCUUUAAUGCUGGGUGGGCGGACACAUACAAGACGUACAAUUACGUCGCUAGGGACGACGGGUUUUACGUUAACUAUGGUUUGGACAACAGUUACCACAAGCUAGAUUACUCAUGGCAAUGAUGGUUGUUGUCGAUUUUAUUAUUAAAUUGUAAUAUUUUUUUUCUUCUUCUUCUUAUAUUUGGUCGUGACAUGAAAUAAAAUUGUGUU